CGGGUGCACUGAUCCAGCCGGGCCUUUCCCUCUGUGGAACCCCAUGGCCUUCACUGGCUGUGGUGGGGAAACAGGACUUUUACUUUGAAAAAAUUAGAGUGCUCCAGGCAGGCCUAUGCUCGAAUACAUUAGCAUGGAAUAAUAGAAUAGGACGUGUGGUUCUAUUUUGUUGGUUUCUAGGACCGCCGUAAUGAUUAAUAGGGACAGUCGGGGGCAUCAGUAUUCAAUUGUCAGAGGUGAAAUUCUUGGAUCUAUUGAAGACUAACUACUGCGAAAGCAUUUGCCAAGGAUGUUUUCAUUGAUAAGGAACGAAAGUUAGGGGAUCGAAGACGAUCAGAUACCGUCGUAGUCUUAACUAUAAACUAUGCCGACUAGGGAUCGGACGAUGUUAUUUCUUGACGCGUUCGGCACCUUUCGAGAAAUCAAAGUGCUUGGGCUCCAGGGGGAGUAUGGUCGCAAGGCUGAAACUUAAAGAAAUUGACGGAAGGGCACCACCAGGGGUGGAACCUGCGGCUUAAUUUGACUCAACACGGGGAAACUCACCAGGUCCAGACACAGUGAGGAUUGACAGAUUGAGAGCUCUUUCUUGAUUCUGUGGGUGGUGGUGCAUGGCCGUUCUUAGUUGGUGGAGUGAUUUGUCUGCUUAAUUGCGAUAACGAACGAGACCUUAACCUGCUAAAUAGCCCGUACUGCUCUGGCAGUUCGCCGGCUUCUUAGAGGGACUAUCGG
RNAcentral lists this ribosomal RNA (729 nucleotides) under uncultured eukaryote. RNAcentral's name for it is "SSU rRNA". It matches the Rfam family "Eukaryotic small subunit ribosomal RNA", at positions 670 to 1426 of the family's 1831-position model. The record is from RNAcentral.